RNAcentral lists this ribosomal RNA (495 nucleotides) under uncultured bacterium. RNAcentral describes it as "partial 16S ribosomal RNA". The stretch from base 54 to 495 matches the Rfam family "Bacterial small subunit ribosomal RNA", at positions 39 to 507 of the family's 1533-position model. The record is from RNAcentral.
GGGGGGGGGGGGGGGGGGGGGGGGGGGGGGGGGGGAGGGCGGGGGGGGGGGAGGGGGCGUGUCGGGGGGAGGUGCGAGCGGGGGAGUAAGGCGUGGGGAACCUGCCGGGUAGCGGGGGAUAACUAUUGGAAACGAUAGCUAAUACCGCAUCAGCGUAGCUGUUGCAUGAGAUUUGCUUAAAAGGUGCAAUUGCCUCACUACCAGAUGGGCCUGCGUUUUAUUAGCUAGUUGGUGAGGUAACGGCUCACCAAGGCAACGAUCCAUAGCCGACCUGAGAGGGUGAUCGGCCACACUGGGACUGAGACACGGCCCAGACUCCUACGGGAGGCAGCAGUAGGGAAUCUUCGGCAAUAGACGGAAGUCUGACCGAGCAACGCCGCGUGAGUGAAGAAGGUUUUCGGAUCGUAAAGCUCUGUUGUAAGAGAAGAACGAGUGUGAGAGUGGAAAGUUCACACUGUGACGGUAUCUUACCAGAAAGGGACGGCUAACUACGUG